RNAcentral lists this ribosomal RNA (465 nucleotides) under uncultured bacterium. Its description in RNAcentral is "partial 16S ribosomal RNA". It matches the Rfam family "Bacterial small subunit ribosomal RNA", at positions 338 to 795 of the family's 1533-position model. The record is from RNAcentral.
CCUACGUGGAGCAGCAGUAGGGAAUCUUCCACAAUGGGCGAAAGCCUGAUGGAGCAUCGCCGCGUGGGUGAAGACGGUCUUCGGAUCGUACAACCCUGUUGUUAGAGAAGAAAGUGCGUGAGAGUAACUGUUCACGUUUCGACGGUAUCUAACCAGAAAGCCACGGCUAACUACGUGCCAGCAGCCGCGGUAAUACGUAGGUGGAAAGCUUUAUCCGGAUUUAUUUGUCGUAAAGGGAACGCAGGCGGUCUUUUAAGUCUGAUGUGAAAGCCUUCGGCUUAACCGGAGUAGUGCAUUGGAAACAGGGAGACUGGAGGGCAGAAGAGGAGAGUGGAACUCCAUGUGUAGCGGUGAAAUGCGUAGAUAUAUGGAAGAACACCAGUGGCGAAAGCGGCUCUCUGGUCUGUAACUGACGCUGAGGUUCGAAAGCGUGGGUAGCAAACAGGAUUAGAUACCCCUGUAGUC